This 1786-nucleotide long non-coding RNA is filed under the name Zostera marina. Its description in RNAcentral is "long non-coding RNA (ZMAR_LNC000845)". The record is from RNAcentral. Lineage: Eukaryota; Viridiplantae; Streptophyta; Magnoliopsida; Alismatales; Zosteraceae.
AUAUGAUCAGAAAUCGAUGGUCGGUUUUAAUUUUUUGCGUUUUUAAUUAGGUGGAGUCAUUAGUGUGGUAAUAUUAUAGGGUUUGGUAUUAUUUAUAGGGUACAGUAGGAUAUAGGGACUAGUAGUUUACAGGGUACAUAGAUUUUUAGGUCCCUAGGACUAGAGCUUUGGUUUCCCGCCGACUUUUUGUAAAUAGGGUUUUCUUCUGGAUUUCGAUUCGUUCUUCGUCUUUCUUCCGCUGGUGUUCGUCUUUCUUAUCUUCUCGAUUAAGUGUUUUCGAUUGAGGAAGUAGGGUUCUUUCUGUGUUUUCUCUGUAGUAAUCUUCGUCAUACCUUCUGUUAUCGUCUGCUUCUGCUCUUCUUCUUUCUUUUUUUCUCGAUUAACUUAGUAAGGUUUCCUUCACAUUAUUGGGUUUUCGUUCAUUCGAAACUCCAAUAAUCCAUUUUGGGGUUUCCUUCACAUUAUUGGGGUUUCGUAAGGUUGUGAUGUUGAUUUUUUUGUAUUUUCGUUCUUGACUUAGUUAUCGUUAAGAUUUGUUUAUCUGUGUUUCCGAUUUAGUUGUGUUUCCGAUUUGUUUCUCUGGCGUUCUUCGUUUUACCCCUCCCGUUUCCAUAUCCUCUAUCUUGUUUUAUCGUUUUUCGACUUCGUUGAAGUUUGUUUCCGAUGUAGUUGUGUCCAUAUCAUCCAUCUUCGGUUUCUCGUUGAAACACAGCAAUUUUCUCAGGGAAUAACGGUCUUGAGAAAAUUUUGAUGCUGCCACUGGAAAAUUUAACGGUUCUCAUCCUCCCGUUUUGUAUUAAUUUUUCCAAAAUAUGUUCUAUUUACCUUCUUAAAUUGAUUUUUUUUUCAAAAAGGACUGUCUUUAGUAAUGAAACUGAACUGCGUUUUUCUCAAUGUACUUCUUCCUCUUUGUUAUUGAAGCUAUUUAUUUUGUUAGCAGGACUCCUUCUGUUUCAGGUAUUUCAACAAAUUUUUUGUUCAUUCAACAACUGAUUUUUAUAAGUCGUACGAUUAAUUGAUGUCAUCUGAUUAAUUUAUAAGUCGUACGAUUAAAUGAUAUCUGAUCAUUUUCCAUAUUGAUGCUAACUCUAUUUGUCUUUUACUUCUACUGGUAAUCUGGUGUCAUAAUUUGUUGUUUCUUUUUUCAUUCAUUUUAAGUGUGCAGUUAUUCAAUUAUUUUUCCAACAACGGUCUGAAUGGCAUAUUUUGCACAUUCACAAUUUUCUUGCCUACAUGAUGAUGUUAGUAAGAAUUAUUAUUCUUAUGUAGGUAUGAAGGUGAACGCAUAACAAAGGCCCUUUCAAAGUUUGUCAACAGCGAGGGAUGUACUGUUUAAAUCAAUGUUCGGCUAUUGUCUUUAUCUAAUUAUUACAUUCUCAGAUAGAUGUAUGCUAAAUAGUUAAAAUAAAAAUCAACCUAUUCUCGUACUGUGUGUUUUUUGUAGUAACCACUUUAAUCAUCGAUACAGGUUGGUACUGAGAUUUUUCGAACUACACAGGGCUAUCGACUAAAACUGCGUUUAUCUAUAUUUGCUAUUAAUAUAAGUGAUUUUUACAGGUGCUUUCUACAGGUUGGUACUGAGAUUGUACAAAGAGCACUUGGUACUUUCAAUUUAAAUAUAGUUAUUUCUUUCUGUUGGUGUGUGGGUUCGUCGUCCAACCUAGUGCAAGAGUGACUCUCAGAAUUAUCAACCCCCUCCCCUGUUGGACCAGGGGAGGUAUUUAUAGUCUUGCGUCCCAGUGCUUGGGCUUCAUGGGCUCGCGCGCCGGGCCCGUCUGUUCACUCG